Molecule: transfer RNA, 57 nt
Filed under: Loxodonta africana (African savanna elephant)
Lineage: Eukaryota; Metazoa; Chordata; Mammalia; Proboscidea; Elephantidae
Source: Rfam by way of RNAcentral
UGGCGCAGUGGUUAAGCAUUUGGCCGCUAACCAAAAAGUCGGUGGUUCAAACCCACC